Molecule: ribosomal RNA, 254 nt
Filed under: uncultured bacterium
Lineage: Bacteria
Description: partial 16S ribosomal RNA
Rfam family: Bacterial small subunit ribosomal RNA
Source: RNAcentral
UACGUAGGGACCGAGCGUUGUCCGGAAUCAUUGGGCGUAAAGAGCGUGUAGGCGGCUAUUUAAGUCCUGCGUGAAAUCCUGCGGCUCAACCGCAGACGGUCGUGGGAAACUGGAUGGCUAGAGUGCGGGAGAGGAGAGUGGAAUUCCCGGUGUAGCGGUGAAAUGCGCAGAUAUCGGGAAGAACACCCGUGGCGAAGGCGGCUCUCUGGAACGCAACUGACGCUGAGACGCGAAAGCGUGGGGAGCAAACAGGG